AACUCCGACUAUGAAAUCAGAGGGAUCUGAUUUCAAUCUUACGAGAUCUAAUUGAUUUCAUCUGAGAGUCCAUAGACUCCUACUCGCCGACUCAAUGUGGUUCACCGUUCACUCCCUCACCACCUCUCUCUUUUUCCGGCGACCUCUGUUCUCUCCGAAACCUCUCUCCGUCCGUAAAAGAUCGGCGUCCGAUUCAAGCAUUUUCUUCCUCAAAUGAGCAUCGUCGGAUCUUGUAUCUCACUUGCAGCGAUUUGUGCAUAGCUUGACCUCCAUGGCGUCGAUUUCAAGUGGACUAUGGCCCGCCUCAUAUCCAAGCAUGCCUGGCUCUACACUGAGAUGCUUGCUGCCGAAACCAUUGUCUAUCAGAAGGACAAUCUGGACAGAUUCUUGUACUUUCCUUCAGAACAGCAUCCUAUUGUUCUAGAAAUUGGUGGCAGUAAUUUAGAAAACCUGGCAAAAGCUACUCAACUUGCUAAUAUUUACAAAUAUGAUGGGAUCAAUUUUAAAUACGAGUAGUUUUAUGGCCUCUUGCGUGACUUAAACACUAUUGAUGAGGUCAAUGCAGCUAGGAAAGCAGGAGCUCAUGGUGUAAUGGUUAAUCUGCUCUAUGAUAUACGAUUUCUUUAUGGGAAAUGGUUGGCAUGUGACAUCAUAUCAAGCUAUCAUCAGCCCCUUCAUGUACGCAUGUAAUCAAUCUAAAGACAAUUAUAAUCUUGCUAGC
Long non-coding RNA from Rosa rugosa (rugosa rose), 721 nucleotides. RefSeq lists it as uncharacterized. The transcript is spliced from 6 exons. NCBI's taxonomy places the organism in Eukaryota, Viridiplantae, Streptophyta, Magnoliopsida, Rosales, Rosaceae. The record is from RefSeq and is a predicted model, not a curated record.